This 603-nucleotide ribosomal RNA is filed under the name Lactobacillus delbrueckii subsp. bulgaricus. RNAcentral's name for it is "partial 23S ribosomal RNA". It matches the Rfam family "Bacterial large subunit ribosomal RNA", at positions 351 to 955 of the family's 2925-position model. Lineage: Bacteria; Bacillati; Bacillota; Bacilli; Lactobacillales; Lactobacillaceae. The record is from RNAcentral.
CGCGCCAGAGAGGGUGAGAGCCCCGUAAGCGAAAUCCAAAGAAGGCCUAUCAGUAUCCUGAGUAGGGCGGGACACGUGAAAUCCCGUUUGAAUCCGCGAGGACCAUCUCGCAAGGCUAAAUACUAACCAGUGACCGAUAGUGAACCAGUACCGUGAGGGAAAGGUGAAAAGAACCCCGGGAGGGGAGUGAAAGAGAACCUGAAACCGUGUGCCUACAAGUAGUCAGAGCCCGUUAACGGGUAAUGGCGUGCCUUUUGUAGAAUGAACCGGCGAGUUGCGUUAGUCAGCAAGGUUAAGUCAGAAAAGACGGAGCCGCAGCGAAAGCGAGUCUGAAGAGGGCGAGCAGUUGGCUGACGCAGACCCGAAACCAAGUGACCUACCCAUGACCAGGUUGAAGGCGCGGUAAAACGCGCUGGAGGACCGAACCCACGUAAGUUGAAAAUUGCGGGGAUGAGUUGUGGGUAGCGGUGAAAUUCCAAACGAACUUGGAGAUAGCUGGUUCUCUCCGAAAUAGCUUUAGGGCUAGCCUCGCAAAGAGGAUGCUGGAGGUAGAGCUCUGUUUGGACUAGGGGCCCGUCAAGGGUUACUGAAUUCAGAUAAACU